Molecule: ribosomal RNA, 457 nt
Filed under: uncultured bacterium
Lineage: Bacteria
Description: bacterial SSU rRNA
Rfam family: Bacterial small subunit ribosomal RNA
Source: RNAcentral
UACGGAAGGCAGCAGUGGGGAAUAUUGCACAAUGGGCGCAAGCCUGAUGCAGCCAUGCCGCGUGUAUGAAGAAGGCCUUCGGGUUGUAAAGUACUUUCAGUCGUGAGGAAGGUGUUAAGGUUAAUAACCUUAGCAAUUGACGUUAGCGACAGAAGAAGCACCGGCUAACUCCGUGCCAGCAGCCGCGGUAAUACGGAGGGUGCGAGCGUUAAUCGGAAUUACUGGGCGUAAAGGGCACGCAGGCGGUUAAUUAAGUUGGAUGUGAAAUCCCCGGGCUUAACCUGGGAAUGGCAUUCAAGACUGGUUAGCUAGAGUCUUGUAGAGGGGGUAGAAUUCCAUGUGUAGCGGUGAAAUGCGUAGAGAUGUGGAGGAAUACCGGUGGCGAAGGCGGGCCCCUGGGACAAAGGACUGACGCUCAUGUGCGAAAGCGUGGGGAGCAAACGAGGGAUUAGAUACC